Homo sapiens (human) is the source of this 3178-nucleotide long non-coding RNA. Lineage: Eukaryota; Metazoa; Chordata; Mammalia; Primates; Hominidae. The record is from Ensembl.
GGCCUUGCAGUUGUAGAGGAAUUUCUUGGGGGAGCAGGUUGGUAUGCUUACACUCCUACUGGUUGUCUAUUAAAAAUAUUAAAAUUUUGUCUUUUAAAUGUCUGUCUCUGGCAGUACCAUUCACAAGCCUUCUUCUCUGCCUUACAUCCUUCUUGGUUUUUACUCAUUGCUGCAAUCUCUCACAGUUGGAUGGCCCUUUGUUUCAUCCAAAUUCAAGGCUUGAUAUAUCAUCUCUGCACUGUGACUCUCACAUUUUUAUAUCUCCAGCCUGGACCUUGCCCUGAAUUCCUCAUUUCUGUCCAACCACUUUAUAUUUCUUCUUGGAGGUGUAAUAAAUCAUUUCAAACUUGUCCAAAGCUCAACUAUGAAUUUUCCUCUCCUGUCUGUUCUUCCUGUAGUCUUCCUCAUUUUAGUUUAUUGGUGACUUCACCUUUCCAGUUUCUGAGACAGAAUCCUGUUGCCAUUCUUUUUUUCUCUCCUUCUCCUUUCCUUCCUCUUCCCUCUCUACCUCUGUCUCCCUCCUUCCCUUGUUCCACCUGUCAGCCUCUACCUCCAGAUUUAUAGAAUUCACUACCGUUUAUCACUUCUGCCUCUACCACCCAUCAAAGUCACUGUCUGGCCGGGUGCGGUGGCUCAUGCCUGUAAUCCCAGCACUUUGGGAGGCCGAGGCGGGUGGAUCAUAUGAGGCUAGGAGUUCGAGACCUGCCUGGCCGGCAUAGUGAAACCCCGUCUCUACUAAAAAUACAAAUAUUAGCUGGGCAUGAUGGCACAUGCCUGUAGUCCCAGCUACUCAGGAGGCUGAGGUACGAGAAUUGGUUGAACCUGGGAGGCGGAGGUUACGGUGAGCCGAGAUCAUGCCACUGCACUCUAGCCUUGGUGACACAGUGACACUCUGUCUCCAAAAAAAAAAAGGCAAAAAAAAGUCACCGUCUGUGAUUUGCCUUGGUUACUUGAUUAUUGGAAUAGUGUGUUCUUACAAGGUGUGCCUGCUUUCAAACUUGCCUUCCUUCAGUCCAUCCCACACAGCAGCAGCAGUGAUCCUUUACACUGUAAAUUAGAUCAUGCUACUUUGCAGCUUAGAACCCCCCAGGGGCUCCCUGUCACACUGUAAGUCACAGUGUUCUGCCUUCUCAUCACCCACCUGCCUCCCUCUGCUCUGGCUCCCCGUGCUUGCUGCUGCUCCUGCACACUGGCCUGCUUGUCCUUCAGGACGUUGGAAGAGCUGCGCGUCUCAGAUGCUUUUGCCCUCUCCUGAGAAUGUUUACUUUGGAUGUUCUCAUAUCUCAUCCAUGUGUCAUCUUUGAGGCCUUCUCUGGCCCCAUCCCCACACUCCCUCUUUUCUGAAGCUUUAUUUUUCCCCAUAACGUUUGUCACCAUCAAAUACAUAUUUUAUGUUUUUGUAGUUUAGGUAUUUUUAUCCGAACGUAGGUCUUUAUGUUUUAACGUGAAUUGUUUUCUUUUAGCAUGUAUUUUUUUGGGGGUCUUGAGAGCUACCUCCUUCCCCGUCUCAACAGAGUCUGUCCUUUUUGAGCAGGGAUUUAUGUGUUUGUUCUGUAUGGCUGUUACUGAGUGCCCAGAGCAGUGUCUGGCAUAUAGUAGCAGGAGCUCAGUCAGUGUUUGUUGUCUGAGUAAAUGUCACUCCUGCCUUGCAUCUAACCUGCAGUUUUCACAGGGGCUCAUUUGUGGUUUUGCCUGCUGUGCCUUACAGCCAGUAUUUGUCCAUAUAUUUUCUAUUACCCAGAGAUUGUUGACAUCUCAUCUGCUGCACCUUGUAACCCCCAUCUCUAAACCAGUGAUCUCCAUCAUAUUUUUGACCUGAAAAUUUUUGUACAGUAGCCAUUUUUAAGUAUGUAUACCAAUAUAUGUAUUUUACUUACGUACACAUGCUGUAUUGAUAUGAAUAUUAGAAAACAUAAGAAUAGAAAUCUGCCGGGCUUGGUGGCUCACGCCUGUAAUCCCAGCAAUUUGAGAGGCUGAGACGGGCAGAUCAUUAGGUCAGGAGUUCGAGACCAGCCUGGCCAACAUGGUGAACCGCCGUCUCUACUAAAAAUACAAAAAUUAGCCGGGUGUGGUGAUGGGUGCCUGUAAUCCCAGCUACUUGGGAAGCUGAGGCAGGAGAAUUGCUUGAACCUGGGAGGCGGAGGUUGCAGUGAGCCAAGAUUGCGCCACUCCACUGUAGCCUGAGCGACAGGGUGAGACUCCAUCUCGGAAAAUAAAAUAAAAAAAGAACAGAAACCCAAAGAUCAUAGGGUAGAGAUGUAGAUAUUAAGUUCUUUAAUUCACUUUUAUGGACUCUUCAGAAGGAGAGAUUAUAAUUGUAUAUGCUUGAUACAUUGUGUUGGACUGGAAGCACUGUGAAAGAUUCUUAGUCAAGGGGAGAUUUUACAUUCAAAGAAAAUGGAAAAUCCCCCUGCUUUGCUCGGAGGGAAGAACUGCACUUAAAAGUUUGAUGUGUAUUGGUGUCGUCUUCUAGGCAUUUCUUAUAUCUGUGAACAUGUGCACCCUUUGUAUAUAAAGUGGAAUUACAUGUUUACUUACGCACACACACACAUGUACAUAUAAAGCAGGAAUUAUACUACCCAGAGUUCUCUGUGACAUUUUUGUUCCACUUAAUGUAUCAUGGGAGAGUCCUUGAGUGUGGACCUAGGAGCCAGACUACCGAAGGUGCAGACCCUGCAGUUUACUAGUUGAUUUAACCUUUCUGUACCCUAGUUUCCUAAUCUAUAAAUGAAGAAUAACGGUAGCAUUUACUUCAGAGUUCUUGGUAGGAGUAAAUGUUAAAAUACAUAAGCUUUCUCUGCUGAUGAAUAUUUACACUGGAGUCUUAGGAAGGGUCCUUGCUUAUUUUCUAUUCUAAAGUUGGGCUGGACAUAGUGGGCCAUAUGGGUGCCAUCAGAUGGGCUCUUGUUUCUCUGUGACCCGUUCUGUUAGACCUCUUUCCUGCUUUUUUCCUUGAGGUUGUUUAUCUGUCCUCUAGUGAACCAGCUGGUUUGCAGGUGGUGCUUUUCUGAGAGUGUCUUGCUGUUAACAGUUACUAUGGAUGUCAUAUGCCAGCUGGUUCUGUUAAAAAAAAGUCUGUGAAUCCAAAGCCUUGAAUUUUGAACAUUAUUUUCUGUCUGGAAUUUUGAAGAACUGAUUCAUAAAGUGGAGAAAUGAAUAAAGAUUUUUAUUUUACAAA